UUAGUUUAGGAUGGCCUCGGAUUAUACUA
RNAcentral lists this non-coding RNA (29 nucleotides) under Rattus norvegicus (Norway rat). Lineage: Eukaryota; Metazoa; Chordata; Mammalia; Rodentia; Muridae. The record is from RNAcentral.